Molecule: long non-coding RNA, 596 nt
Filed under: Nicotiana tabacum (common tobacco)
Lineage: Eukaryota; Viridiplantae; Streptophyta; Magnoliopsida; Solanales; Solanaceae
Description: long non-coding RNA (NTAB_LNC010284)
Source: RNAcentral
GCCAUUGGAGUCGUCAUGUUCCCGAGGGUGCUGCUCUUGAAGCUGGGUGGAAUACCAAGUUUGCUGAAUAUGAGAAGAAGUACCCAGAGGAAGCUGCAGAACUCAAAUCCAUUACUACUGGUGAACUACCUGCUGGCUGGGAGAAAGCUCUUCCUGUAAGUGGUCAUUUUCAUCUUUCUCUCUCUUAUUUCAAGCUGAGUUCAACUGCUUUUGGUUUGGGCUAUCCUCAUAUUAAGUUCUUAGCUUUGGGGUGUGGUUUUUGAAUUUUUGCCUCGUAUAGUAGACGAGAGAGGUUAUUUCAUUUGUACUCCUGUACUUUUAUCUUCCCUGAUCAGUCACAGUUCCUCAGUCAUCCUUUUAUUCUUGCUCAAAAUUGAUACUCGUCUACUUUUGAAACAUGUGAAUCUUUCCUAAUCCAGUUAUUUGCUUGCUUUCUCAAUCUCAGACCUACACACCUGAAAGUCCAGCGGAUGCCACCAGAAACCUGUCCCAACAAAACCUGAAUGCUCUUGCCAAGGUUCUUCCUGGUUUCCUUGGUGGUAGUGCUGAUCUUGCCUCAUCAAACAUGACCCUCAUGAAAAUGUUUGGUGACUUCC